RNAcentral lists this non-coding RNA (981 nucleotides) under Calyptorhynchus lathami. RNAcentral describes it as "12S ribosomal RNA". It matches the Rfam family "Bacterial small subunit ribosomal RNA". Lineage: Eukaryota; Metazoa; Chordata; Aves; Psittaciformes; Cacatuidae. The record is from RNAcentral.
AAAGACUUAGUCCUAACCUUGCCAUUAGUUUUCCUGCUCAACAUAUACAUGCAAGUAUCCGCACUCCAGUGCAAACACCCCCAACCUCUUAUCAAGACCAAAGGAGUAGGCAUCAGGCACGCUCACACACUGCAGCCCAAAACGCCUCGUCCAGCCACACCCCCACGGGUACUCAGCAGUAGUUAACAUUAAGCCAUAGGCGAAAGCCUGACUUAGUUAGAGCAACCAGGGUUGGUAAACCUUGUGCCAGCCACCGCGGCCAUACAAGGAACCCAAACUAACCGCACACGGCGUAAAGAGUGGCCCCCGACUAUCANNNCAGCCAACUAAGACCAAAUUACAACCCAAGCUGUCACAAGCCCAAGAUGUUCCGAAGCACCUCCUAAAGACAACCUUAGCAACUGCGACCUAUCUACCCCACGAAAGCCAGGGCACAAACUGGGAUUAGAUACCCCACUAUGCCUAGCCCUAAAUCUUGGUAUCUUCUACACANNNAAGACACCCGCCCGAGAACUACGAGCACAAACGCUUAAAACUCUAAGGACUUGGCGGUGCCCUAAACCCACCUAGAGGAGCCUGUUCUAUAAUCGAUAAUCCACGAUACACCCAACCACUCCUUGCCAAAACAGCCUACAUACCGCCGUCGCCAGCCCACCUUUAUGAAAGCACAACAGUGAGCCCAAUAGCCUACACCCACUAACAAGACAGGUCAAGGUAUAGCCUAUGGAGUGGAAGAAAUGGGCUACAUUUUCUAAAAUAGACAAACCNNUUAACGAAAGGAGGCCUGAAACUUGCCNNNCCAGAAGGCGGAUUUAGCAGUAAAGAGGGACAAUAGAGCCCUCUUUAAGUCGGCUCUAGGGCACGUACACACCGCCCGUCACCCUCCUCACAAGCCUACUCAACGCUAACUAAAACACCAAACAGCUGAAGAUGAGGUAAGUCGUAACAAGGUAAGUGUACUGGAAAGUGCACUUAGUAUAU